GAUGAACGCUGGCGGCGUGCCUAAUACAUGCAAGUCGAGCGAACGGACGAGAAGCUUGCUCCUCUGAUGUUAGCGGCGGACGGGUGAGUAACACGUGGAUAACCUACCUAUAAGACUGGGAUAACUUCGGGAAACCGGAGCUAAUACCGGAUAAUAUUUUGAACCGCAUGGUUCAAUAGUGAAAGACGGUCUUGCUGUCACUUAUAGAUGGAUCCGCGCUGCAUUAGCUAGUUGGUAAGGUAACGGCUUACCAAGGCAACGAUGCAUAGCCGACCUGAGAGGGUGAUCGGCCACACUGGAACUGAGACACGGUCCAGACUCCUACGGGAGGCAGCAGUAGGGAAUCUUCCGCAAUGGGCGAAAGCCUGACGGAGCAACGCCGCGUGAGUGAUGAAGGUCUUCGGAUCGUAAAACUCUGUUAUUAGGGAAGAACAUAUGUGUAAGUAACUGUGCACAUCUUGACGGUACCUAAUCAGAAAGCCACGGCUAACCACGUG
Molecule: ribosomal RNA, 497 nt
Filed under: uncultured bacterium
Lineage: Bacteria
Description: partial 16S ribosomal RNA
Rfam family: Bacterial small subunit ribosomal RNA
Source: RNAcentral